CAAGGAAUUUUCCGCAAUGGGGGCAACCCUGACGGAGCAACGCCGCGUGCGGGAUGACGCUUUUCGGAGUGUAAACCGCUUUUCUCGGGGAGGAUGGAGGACAGUACCCGAGGAAGAAGGCCCGGCUAACUACGUGCCAGCAGCCGCGGUAAUACGUAGGGGCCGAGCGUUGUCCGGAGUUAUUGGGCGUAAAGCGCGCGCAGGCGGCCUCGCGCGCCCGACGUGAAAGCCCCCGGCUUAACCGGGGAGGGUCGUUGGGGACGGCGGGGCUUGAGGGCGGGAGAGGUCGGUGGAAUUCCCGGUGUAGUGGUGAAAUGCGUAGAGAUCGGGAGGAACACCUGUGGCGAAGGCGGCCGACUGGGCCGACCCUGACGCUGAGGCGCGAAGGCGUGGGGAGCGAACGGG
Molecule: ribosomal RNA, 405 nt
Filed under: Bacillota bacterium
Lineage: Bacteria; Bacillati; Bacillota
Description: Firmicutes bacterium partial 16S ribosomal RNA
Rfam family: Bacterial small subunit ribosomal RNA
Source: RNAcentral